Molecule: non-coding RNA, 69 nt
Organism: Podarcis lilfordi (Lilford's wall lizard)
Lineage: Eukaryota; Metazoa; Chordata; Lepidosauria; Squamata; Lacertidae
Source: the annotation of a GenBank genome assembly
UUCCCCUUUUCCUUGGCUUGGACUCAUGCUUGUCUCUGCAUCAUGAGCCCAAGCCAAGGCAAAGGGGAA